CCUACGGUGGGCUGCAGUGAGGAAUAUUGGUCAAUGGGCGCAAGCCUGAACCAGCCAAGUCGCGUGAGGGAUGACGGUCCUAUGGAUUGUAAACCUCUUUUGUCGGGGAGCAAGGCCCGCCACGUGUGGCGGGAAGGAGAGUACCCGAAGAAAAAGCAUCGGCUAACUCCGUGCCAGCAGCCGCGGUAAUACGGAGGAUGCGAGCGUUAUCCGGAUUUAUUGGGUUUAAAGGGUGCGUAGGCGGACGCUUAAGUCAGCGGUAAAAUUGCGGGGCUCAACCUCGUCGAGCCGUUGAAACUGGGUGCCUUGAGUGGGCGGGAAGUACGCGGAAUGCGUGGUGUAGCGGUGAAAUGCAUAGAUAUCACGCAGAACUCCGAUUGCGAAGGCAGCGUACCGGCGCCCAACUGACGCUGAAGCACGAAGGCGUGGGUAUCGAACAGGAUUAGAUACCCCGGUAGUC
Molecule: ribosomal RNA, 460 nt
Filed under: uncultured bacterium
Lineage: Bacteria
Description: partial 16S ribosomal RNA
Rfam family: Bacterial small subunit ribosomal RNA
Source: RNAcentral